GGUGGCUCAGUGGUAGAGUGCUUGCCUUGCAUGCAUGAGGUCCUGGGGUCAAUUCCUCAGCACCA
Molecule: transfer RNA, 65 nt
Filed under: Dipodomys ordii (Ord's kangaroo rat)
Lineage: Eukaryota; Metazoa; Chordata; Mammalia; Rodentia; Heteromyidae
Rfam family: tRNA
About the family: Transfer RNA (tRNA) molecules are approximately 80 nucleotides in length. Their secondary structure includes four short double-helical elements and three loops (D, anti-codon, and T loops).
Source: Rfam by way of RNAcentral